This 760-nucleotide ribosomal RNA is filed under the name Prevotella melaninogenica. RNAcentral's name for it is "bacterial SSU rRNA". It matches the Rfam family "Bacterial small subunit ribosomal RNA", at positions 28 to 776 of the family's 1533-position model. Lineage: Bacteria; Pseudomonadati; Bacteroidota; Bacteroidia; Bacteroidales; Prevotellaceae. The record is from RNAcentral.
GAUGAACGCUAGCUACAGGCUUAACACAUGCAAGUCGAGGGGAAACGGCAUUGAGUGCUUGCACUCUUUGGACGUCGACCGGCGCACGGGUGAGUAACGCGUAUCCAACCUUCCCAUUACUGUGGGAUAACCUGCCGAAAGGUAGACUAAUACCGCAUAGUCUUCGAUGACGGCAUCAGAUUUGAAGUAAAGAUUUAUCGGUAAUGGAUGGGGAUGCGUCUGAUUAGCUUGUUGGCGGGGUAACGGCCCACCAAGGCGACGAUCAGUAGGGGUUCUGAGAGGAAGGUCCCCCACAUUGGAACUGAGACACGGUCCAAACUCCUACGGGAGGCAGCAGUGAGGAAUAUUGGUCAAUGGACGGAAGUCUGAACCAGCCAAGUAGCGUGCAGGAUGACGGCCCUAUGGGUUGUAAACUGCUUUUGUAUGGGGAUAAAGUUAGGGACGUGUCCCUAUUUGCAGGUACCAUACGAAUAAGGACCGGCUAAUUCCGUGCCAGCAGCCGCGGUAAUACGGAAGGUCCAGGCGUUAUCCGGAUUUAUUGGGUUUAAAGGGAGCGUAGGCUGGAGAUUAAGUGUGUUGUGAAAUGUAGACGCUCAACGUCUGACUUGCAGCGCAUACUGGUUUCCUUGAGUACGCACAACGUUGGCGGAAUUCGUCGUGUAGCGGUGAAAUGCUUAGAUAUGACGAAGAACUCCGAUUGCGAAGGCAGCUGACGGGAGCGCAACUGACGCUUAAGCUCGAAGGUGCGGUGUCAAACAGG